GACGAACGCUGGCGGCGUGCCUAAUACAUGCAAGUCGAACGCAUUUCUUUUCACCGGAGCUUGCUCCACCGAAAAGAAAUGAGUGGCGGACGGGUGAGUAACACGUGGGCAACCUGCCCAUCAGAGGGGGAUAACACUUGGAAACAGGUGCUAAUACCGCAUAAUUGAUUUUACCGCAUGGUGAGAUCAUAAAAGACGCUUCGGUGUCACUGGUGGAUGGGCCCGCGGUGCAUUAGUUAGUUGGUGGGGUAACGGCCUACCAAGACCAUGAUGCAUAGCCGACCUGAGAGGGUGAUCGGCCACACUGGGACUGAGACACGGCCCAGACUCCUACGGGAGGCAGCAGUAGGGAAUCUUCGGCAAUGGACGAAAGUCUGACCGAGCAACGCCGCGUGAGUGAAGAAGGUUUUCGGAUCGUAAAACUCUGUUGUUAGAGAAGAACAAGUGAUAGAGUAACUGUUAUCACCUUGACGGUAUCUAACCAGAAAGCCACGGCUAACUACGUGCCAGCCGCCGCCGUAACAC
RNAcentral lists this ribosomal RNA (525 nucleotides) under uncultured bacterium. RNAcentral describes it as "bacterial SSU rRNA". It matches the Rfam family "Bacterial small subunit ribosomal RNA", at positions 28 to 526 of the family's 1533-position model. The record is from RNAcentral.